UCAACACAAGCUCCAAGCUUCAAUGCGUUGAUCGGACACGUUGGUUGAGCACUUCCUCCUCCAGAAGGUGGACCACCAUGAUACGGUGGAUAACCAGAGGAUGGUGGUGGAGUUGUGAUCGGAGGUGGGUUAAUGAUCGGAGGGAGAAGUCCUGGAGGUGUUGUGAUUGGAGGGAGAAUUCCUGGAGGAGUUGUGACCGGAGGUGGGUUAAUGAUCGGAGGGAGAAUUCCUGGAGGAGUUGUGACCGGAGGAGGUCUUACCAUUGGUGGUGGAUAGACGACUGGAGGAGGUCUUGAGAUAGGCGGUGGCCUCACCACUGGUGGUGGAUAAACCACCGGAGGAGGUCUAACAAACGGCGGUGAUGUCCCUCCACCAUGAUGUGGUGGCCCACCACCACCACCACCAUGAUGCGGCGGCCCACCACCUUUUCCACCGUGAUGUGGCGGUUUACUACCACCUUUUCCUCCGUGAU
RNAcentral lists this long non-coding RNA (472 nucleotides) under Brassica napus (rape). RNAcentral's name for it is "long non-coding RNA (BNAP_LNC007524)". Lineage: Eukaryota; Viridiplantae; Streptophyta; Magnoliopsida; Brassicales; Brassicaceae. The record is from RNAcentral.